RNAcentral lists this unclassified non-coding RNA (212 nucleotides) under eukaryotic plankton environmental sample. RNAcentral describes it as "sequence contains 18S rRNA gene". The record is from RNAcentral.
GCGGUGUGUACAAAGGGCAGGGACGUAAUCAACGCAUGCUGAUGACAUGCGCUUACUAGGAAUUCCUCGUUGAAGAGCAAUAAUUGCAAUGCUCUAUCCCCAGCACGACAGAGUUUCAUAAGAUUGCCCAGACCUUCCGGUCAAGGUUGUAUACUCGCUGCCUCUGUCAGUGUAGCGCGCGUGCAGCCCAGAACAUCUAAGGGCAUCACAGA